GGACAGCCGUGUGCACCGUGCGCUGGGCCGGGCGGGGAGCAGCUGAGGCCACGUUGGGGGACCCCGGGCCCGGGGCAGGGCUCUGGGAGAGUGGCCUAGCCGUGUGUGCGCCCCUAGCCCAGCGGCUUCACUCCCUCCCGAGGGCCCCGUGGCCGCGGCUUUAGGCGUCCAGAGGAUCGAUCGCCGCCAGACAUCCCUGGCCGUGAUUGCCCGAGCACUUGACCGCGAGGGAUGGGGGCGCCGCGGCCUCUGGGCAGGGGACUCCGGGCGCCCCGAGGGAGCAGCCGGGACCAGUGCCUCGCGGACGGAUUGUGCCCCGCUCCCCCAAGGGGGACCCGCGUCGACACGCUCCUCGGUCACCGUCCUCCUCCUGCCCGGGCGCCGCCUGCCUAAGGUGGCCCCAGAAAGCACAAACGGGUCGGGCGGAUCUGCCGCUGGCGCCGGCGCAGCCCUUCCCACGUGCUCCUUCCGGCUGAUUUAUUUCUCCACCACGAUGCCAGGCACGGGCACCCUGUGCCAAGCCUGGUUAAGCGCCAGGAGUCCAAAAUGCCUGCCAUAGUCCCUGCGCAAAGUUCACGGCCUCGUGCCAGGGACAGACAGCGCCCCCUCCCCACCCCAACACAGGGUGGUGAGUGCGAUGGCAGAAGGCGCGUGUCCCGGCGCCCCUCCUGGAGUAGGAGGGCUAAGCCUGCCCUGCGGGGAGACCGAAAGGCUGGGAGGGACCUAGGACUGUGGGGGCCUGGGGGGAGGGCUGCAGAAACCCCAGAGCAUGGUGGCAGAGGCAGGCACAGAAAGCAGGACAAAUCUCACACCUGACCCCAGCAAGCCUUUCCUGGCACACCUCUUGCCAAAUGCUGAGCACUCUGGAAACAGCCAGUGCAGGCGGCCUGUCCCGCCCCUGUAGCUGCUGCUGGGAGCCUCCCUCGCCUGCGUCCUCCCAGAAUCUGGCCUCACUUCUGCAGGCCUGGGGUAACAUCUUGGGGUCAGCGCCCCAGGAGAGGAGGCGCCUGGAGGCAGCAGAGAUGUUUAUGUAACAGCAGCCAGGCAGCCUGGAGGAGCAGAUUUUCCAUAGAAGGAAGCGCGGGGCUGUGCAGCUCCCAGGCUGAGGACUCUGCCCACCACGACGUCCUCUGCUCCUGAGAAGAGAGUGGCCCAUUCGGUGUCCACCCGUCAGGCCACCCAGCAGCCAGGCACGCUCAUAAGCCCGCGUUACGGAUGGUGCGGCCGGGUGCACAGGCCCGAGGGAAGCACAGGCCUCGGCCUCCCAGCUCCCAACCCCUGCACCACCCACAGCCGGGAGUACCCCAUGGACAGCUGUGGCCGAGGAGAAGCCAGGGAUGAGGGGGAUGGGCCUCACCUCCCCACCAGCCUGGGAAGGGGGUAGGCCCCUGGCAAGUAGGUGAGAAGCUUUUUCAUUCACAAGUUGUCCGGGCUCCCCAUUCCUCUUUGUCAGGCCAGCGGGUGUGGGCAGUCGGGGGAGGCUGGGGUCCUGACACAACAGGAGUACAUCUGCUGGCCUAGGGCCUGGAGACCUUCUCCUACAGGUCGGGAGGCAGCCCUGGGCAGCGGGCAUUGCGGGGACUAAAGAGAAACAAGAGCAGGUUGUGUGCAGGGCACCCCAGCCACUCCAGAAACCCAAUGGGAGGGUGGGGGCUAGGACCCCAAGAAGCUGAAUUGGGGUGCAGUGCCGCCAGGCCUCCCCUGUAGGAGUCACUUUGGGCUUCCUGUCCCAACUUGUGGUGGGAGCUGGGGCAAGGUUCCAGGGGUACCCCGAAUGAAUGGGGCUGUUCCCAAGCUGGCCAGGGAGCCUGGAAGCAGAUGAGAUGGGGCCGCAGAGCCUGGUUUGCGGAGGGGAGAGGCAGACGUGUCCUGCAGCCCUCUCUUCUUCAGAGGCCCCCUGCGGGUGCUGAGGGGAGAGUGGCUUAGGCGUUGCACCCCAGGAGACUGAACUGGGUCAGUUCCCCCUUGUUUGCUGCCAGAGAAAUGGGGGUACCAUUGUCAGGGUGAGCUAAGGAGGCCCUGCUGACAUUGGCCCAACCAGGCCCCUCCUUUGCGGCUGCUGUGGGGACUUUCGAGAGCAGAGCACACCCCUAAGUGCGUGGAGAGGUAAGCACAGCUGGUGAGCACACGGGGACAGCGACGGAGCUCAUGGAGACCCAGGUGACCUUAAAACACCCCAGGGCCGGCUCCGGCCCCAGAGAGAUGUGGUCCGAGUAGAGGGGGGUCAGCAGUGACCUGGUGGGUGGGUGUAUUUGAGGGGUGCCUGUGUUGAAAGCUCUGCAGUAGAUUCUAAGGAGCAGCCAGGGCUGAGACUCCCGGUGCUGAGCCCAAGGCCCCUUUCCUUCCUGCAGGAGUUCAUCUUGGCUCUUGCAGCCCCCAUGACCCUGUGGCGCUGGGGGGCGGCUAGCAUGAUGCUCCCCAUUUUUCAGGAGGGAAGCUGAGGCUCAGAGACAUCAUGAGGAUGCCAGCUCAAGGCCCAGCCAGGCCUUGGUCCUCAGCUGCUGUCAUCCAGUAGGGUAAGUGGGACCCCCAGGAGGUGUUGGGGGACACUCCUCCCCUCCCCCACACUCACAGUCUGUUCACCGCCCAAGGCAGCAGGCUGGACUCGGUGCAGGGACCAUGGCUUGGCGUGGCCAGGUUGGAGUGGCCCCUGGGACUGAAAGCAGGGGGCGUGGGGGCUCUGAGGCGGGGCCGAGUGCGGGGACGUCCUGUGGCGGGUACCCUGCUGGGUCCUGGGUGGGGGCCACCACCAGGCAGCUGUGGGAACAUUCCAGACCACCUAGGAGUAGGGCCCCUUCACCGUUUGAAGCUGACUGUAAAAAACAUCUGACCUGUGUGCAAAGCUCAAGCCCAGAGGCCUCCAGGGUGUCCAGCCUCCAGGGUGCCUCCUACGCAGCCUCCACGUCCCCAUCCACUGCAGCCCCUGACCAUCGGGCACACCGUGGGGCCUUCGCUGGCCGCCGGGCCUCAGGUUCUGCUGCACCAAGUGAUUUUUAAAGCCCCAUCUGCCUUUCUCCACUUAUAAAGAACUUGGGACAUUUCCUCGAGGUUGGGCAUUUUUCCAGAUGUGGUUUCAGUGUCUCGCUUGCUACCUGGUCCCCUGUGCUGGGCGGUCCGCUGUGACGCACCUGGCAGUCCUUGCUCUAGGAUGGAUUCGGGCCGGCCCUUGUUCUGAGAACAGAGAACGGCCCUUGUUCUGAGGAGGCUGGGGUCUGGAAUCUGCUUCCUGGUCCCCUGCUGUGUGCAGACAGCCACCGUCACCCAGGCCCAGGGGUGCCUGCAGGUGCUGGGCAUCUCACCCUGGCCCCCACAGGGGCUCCCCAUGCCCUGCACCCCUCGGUCUGUGCCGGGGACUUCCCUGCUCUGCUGUUGCAGGCCUCGUCCUUUGCCGAGGGGGUCUCUUUCCCACGUGUCCCUGAGACUCCUCAGCCAUCCCAGAGGCUCUCGGCCGUCUGAGCACCCCUGACCAUGAAGCCUUCCUGGCCCACUCUCUGUGUGUGAGGCAGAGCCCAUCCCUACCAUUCCGACCCACACCAGAGGCUCCGGAAGGUUUGCUGACUGACCUGUGACUGCAAGAAGCUGAAGGAAUGUGGGCGCAGACCCGGCAGGGGCUUUUCUUGGUGCAAAGUCAACUGGCUGUCCAUGCAAGCCUGCUGCUGUGGCCAGCCCUCC
Molecule: long non-coding RNA, 3672 nt
Filed under: Homo sapiens (human)
Lineage: Eukaryota; Metazoa; Chordata; Mammalia; Primates; Hominidae
Description: non-protein coding NALT1:19
Source: RNAcentral